This 450-nucleotide ribosomal RNA is filed under the name uncultured bacterium. RNAcentral describes it as "partial 16S ribosomal RNA". It matches the Rfam family "Bacterial small subunit ribosomal RNA", at positions 354 to 796 of the family's 1533-position model. The record is from RNAcentral.
GUGGGGAAUUUUGGACAAUGGGCGCAAGCCUGAUCCAGCAAUGCCGCGUGCAGGAAGAAGGCCUUCGGGUUGUAAACUGCUUUUGUACGGAACGAAAAGGCUCUGGUUAAUACCUGGGGCUCAUGACGGUACCGUAAGAAUAAGCACCGGCUAACUACGUGCCAGCAGCCGCGGUAAUACGUAGGGUGCAAGCGUUAAUCGGAAUUACUGGGCGUAAAGCGUGCGCAGGCGGUUUUGUAAGACAGGCGUGAAAUCCCCGGGCUCAACCUGGGAAUGGCGCUUGUGGCUGCAAGGCUGGAGUGCGGCAGAGGUGGAUGGAAUUCCGCGUGUAGCAGUGAAAUGCGUAGAUAUGCGGGGGAACACCGAUGGCGAAGGCAAUCCCCUGGGCCUGCACUGACGCUCAUGCACGAAAGCGUGGGGAGCAAACAGGAUUAGAUACCCUUGUAGUCC